UUAGACAUUCGGAUUAUAAACCCUUCAUAAGUGAAAAACUGUGUCUAUUGAGUGUCCAAGUGCCUAAGCUAGCAUCCUGCGCAGCCGGAUGCAAGAGAUGCCGCACGCGUUGGAUCAGGCCUGUGAGAAUCGACAGCGAAACGUCAUCAUCAUCGAUGGUAUUCUUUAAGCAGUUACUGGCUGCAGGACACUGUGCUAAGCGCGCUUGGGAGAGUACACCACAAUGAGAUCGAUAGUCACAACAGGCGUGAAUCAGAUGAAAGGAUUUCUG
Molecule: long non-coding RNA, 271 nt
Filed under: Ornithorhynchus anatinus (platypus)
Lineage: Eukaryota; Metazoa; Chordata; Mammalia; Monotremata; Ornithorhynchidae
Description: lncRNA (ENSOANG00000036751.1)
Source: RNAcentral